AGGCUUAACACAUGCAAGUCGAGGGGCAGCAUGGUCUUAUCUUGCUAAGGCCGAUGGCGACCGGCGCACGGGUGAGUAACACGUAUCCAACCUGCCGUCUACUCUUGGACAGCCUUCUGAAAGGAAGAUUAAUACAAGAUGGCAUCAUGAGUCCGCAUGUUCACAUGAUUAAAGGUAUUCCGGUAGACGAUGGGGAUGCGUUCCAUUAGAUAGUAGGCGGGGUAACGGCCCACCUAGUCUUCGAUGGAUAGGGGUUCUGAGAGGAAGGUCCCCCACAUUGGGACUGAGACACGGUCCAAACUCCUACGGGAGGCAGCAGUGAGGAAUAUUGGUCAAUGGGCGAGAGCCUGAACCAGCCAAGUAGCGUGAAGGAUGACUGCCCUAUGGGUUGUAAACUUCUUUUAUAAAGGAAUAAAGUCGGGUAUGCAUACCCGUUUGCAUGUACUUUAUGAAUAAGGAUCGGCUAACUCCGUGCCAGCAGCCGCGGUAAUACGGAGGAUCCGAGCGUUAUCCGGAUUUAUUGGGUUUAAAGGGAGCGUAGAUGGAUGUUUAAGUCAGUUGUGAAAGUUUGCGGCUCAACCGUAAAAUUGCAGUUGAUACUGGAUAUCUUGAGUGCAGUUGAGGCAGGCGGAAUUCGUGGUGUAGCGGUGAAAUGCUUAGAUAUCACGAAGAACUCCGAUUGCGAAGGCAGCCUGCUAAGCUGCAACUGACAUUGAGGCUCGAAAGUGUGGGUAUCAAACAGGAUUAGAUACCCUGGUAGUCCACACGGUAAACGAUGAAUACUCGCUGUUUGCGAUAUACAGCAAGCGGCCAAGCGAAAGCGUUAAGUAUUCCACCUGGGGAGUACGCCGGCAACGGUGAAACUCAAAGGAAUUGACGGGGGCCCGCACAAGCGGAGGAACAUGUGGUUUAAUUCGAUGAUACGCGAGGAACCUUACCCGGGCUUAAAUUGCAGAUGAAUUACGGUGAAAGCCGUAAGCCGCAAGGCAUCUGUGAAGGUGCUGCAUGGUUGUCGUCAGCUCGUGCCGUGAGGUGUCGGCUUAAGUGCCAUAACGAGCGCAACCCUUGUUGUCAGUUACUAACAGGUUCCGCUGAGGACUCUGACAAGACUGCCAUCGUAAGAUGUGAGGAAGGUGGGGAUGACGUCAAAUCAGCACGGCCCUUACGUCCGGGGCUACACACGUGUUACAAUGGGGGGUACAGAGGGCCGCUACCACGCGAGUGGAUGCCAAUCCCAAAAACCUCUCUCAGUUCGGACUGGAGUCUGCAACCCGACUCCACGAAGCUGGAUUCGCUAGUAAUCGCGCAUCAGCCACGGCGCGGUGAAUACGUUCCCGGGCCUUGCACA
RNAcentral lists this ribosomal RNA (1348 nucleotides) under uncultured bacterium. RNAcentral describes it as "bacterial SSU rRNA". It matches the Rfam family "Bacterial small subunit ribosomal RNA", at positions 44 to 1387 of the family's 1533-position model. The record is from RNAcentral.